GGCAUAUUGGGAUAAGGUAACCUUUCAUCAUUGUGAAUUUCAGUUAUAUUCAAAAUAUAUAUUGCGUGCUAAUAUUCAAUAAAAUGUGUAGCUCUCCGUAGAAGAGGCAAAGGAAGUUGUGUCAUUCAAGAAUGUGAUGUUGGAGGUAAUAUCUCUUUUGCUCCUUAUGUGACUAGUUUAUUUCUAUAUGAAGUUAUGUUGAUGUGAUUUGCCUUACUCAAGUACUGGUUAGGUCAA
Molecule: long non-coding RNA, 237 nt
Filed under: Glycine max (soybean)
Lineage: Eukaryota; Viridiplantae; Streptophyta; Magnoliopsida; Fabales; Fabaceae
Description: long non-coding RNA (GMAX_LNC004702)
Source: RNAcentral